Molecule: non-coding RNA, 19 nt
Filed under: Rattus norvegicus (Norway rat)
Lineage: Eukaryota; Metazoa; Chordata; Mammalia; Rodentia; Muridae
Source: RNAcentral
UAAGCCUUGAGAACUUAGU